This 121-nucleotide non-coding RNA is filed under the name Mycobacterium canetti CIPT 140070017. RNAcentral's name for it is "Mycobacterium canettii CIPT 140070017 Glycine". It matches the Rfam family "Glycine riboswitch aptamer". Rfam says of the family: This family represents the bacterial glycine riboswitch. Glycine riboswitches usually consist of two metabolite-binding aptamers domains with similar structures in tandem. The record is from RNAcentral. Lineage: Bacteria; Bacillati; Actinomycetota; Actinomycetes; Mycobacteriales; Mycobacteriaceae.
UGCCUCUGGAAAGCGGUGACGACACGUAAGGUUGUCACCCGCCGAUGGGGAAAAGCGCCGGAAGGUAGCGGCGCCGAAUCUCUCAGGCGCCUGGCGAACGGGUGAAGACAGAGGGAGAGGG